RNAcentral lists this ribosomal RNA (468 nucleotides) under uncultured bacterium. Its description in RNAcentral is "partial 16S ribosomal RNA". It matches the Rfam family "Bacterial small subunit ribosomal RNA", at positions 28 to 507 of the family's 1533-position model. The record is from RNAcentral.
GACGAACGCUGGCGGCGUGCUUAACACAUGCAAGUCGAACGGAAAGGCCCUGCUUUUGUGGGGUGCUCGAGUGGCGAACGGGUGAGUAACACGUGAGUAACCUGCCCUUGACUUUGGGAUAACUUCAGGAAACUGGGGCUAAUACCGGAUAGGAGCUCCUGCUGCAUGGUGGGGGUUGGAAAGUUUCGGCGGUUGGGGAUGGACUCGCGGCUUAUCAGCUUGUUGGUGGGGUAGUGGCUUACCAAGGCUUUGACGGGUAGCCGGCCUGAGAGGGUGACCGGCCACAUUGGGACUGAGAUACGGCCCAGACUCCUACGGGAGGCAGCAGUGGGGAAUAUUGCACAAUGGGCGGAAGCCUGAUGCAGCAACGCCGCGUGCGGGAUGACGGCCUUCGGGUUGUAAACCGCUUUCGCCUGUGACUAAGCGUGAGUGACGGUAAUGGGUAAAGAAGCACCGGCUAACUACGUG